This 429-nucleotide ribosomal RNA is filed under the name Verrucomicrobiota bacterium. Its description in RNAcentral is "Verrucomicrobia bacterium partial 16S ribosomal RNA". It matches the Rfam family "Bacterial small subunit ribosomal RNA", at positions 355 to 776 of the family's 1533-position model. Lineage: Bacteria; Pseudomonadati; Verrucomicrobiota. The record is from RNAcentral.
UAGGGAAUCUUCCGCAAUGGACGAAAGUCUGACGGAGCAACGCCGCGUGAGUGAAGAAGGAUUUCGGUUCGUAAAACUCUGUUGUUAGGGAAGAAAAAAUGUAUAGUAACUAUAUACAAAAGAGACGGUACCUAACCAGAAAGCCACGGCUAACUACGUGCCAGCAGCCGCGGUAAUACGUAGGUGGCAAGCGUUGUCCGGAAUUAUUGGGCGUAAAGCGCGCGCAGGUGGUUUAGAAAGUCUGAUGUGAAAGCCCACGGCUCAACCGUGGAGGGUCAUUGGAAACUAAUAAACUUGAGUGCAGGAGAGAAAAGUGGAAUUCCUAGUGUAGCGGUGAAAUGCGUAGAGAUUAGGAGGAACACCGGUUGCGAAAGCGGCUUUUUGGCCUGCAACUGACACUGAGGCGCGAAAGCGUGGGGAGCAAACAGG